This 69-nucleotide transfer RNA is filed under the name Nilssonia formosa. RNAcentral describes it as "tRNA-Ala". It matches the Rfam family "tRNA". From Rfam's summary of the family: Transfer RNA (tRNA) molecules are approximately 80 nucleotides in length. Their secondary structure includes four short double-helical elements and three loops (D, anti-codon, and T loops). Further hydrogen bonds mediate the characteristic L-shaped molecular structure. tRNAs have two regions of fundamental functional importance: the anti-codon, which is responsible for specific mRNA codon recognition, and the 3' end, to which the tRNAs corresponding amino acid is attached (by aminoacyl-tRNA synthetases). tRNAs cope with the degeneracy of the genetic code in two manners: having more than one tRNA (with a specific anti-codon) for a particular amino acid; and 'wobble' base-pairing, i.e. permitting non-standard base-pairing at the 3rd anti-codon position. The record is from RNAcentral. Lineage: Eukaryota; Metazoa; Chordata; Testudines; Trionychidae.
AAGGCUUUAGCUUAAUUAAAGCGUCUGAUUUGCAUUUGGAAGAUACAAGAUAAGGUCUUGUAAGUUUUA